This 255-nucleotide ribosomal RNA is filed under the name uncultured bacterium. RNAcentral's name for it is "partial 16S ribosomal RNA". It matches the Rfam family "Bacterial small subunit ribosomal RNA", at positions 99 to 354 of the family's 1533-position model. The record is from RNAcentral.
CGGACGGGUGAGUAACGCGUGGGUAACCUGCCAUAUACAGGGGGAUAACACUUAGAAAUAGGUGCUAAUACCGCAUAAGCGCACAGGGGCGCAUGCCCCGGUGUGAAAAACUCCGGUGGUAUAUGAUGGGCCCGCGUCUGAUUAGCCAGUUGGCAGGGUAACGGCCUACCAAAGCGACGAUCAGUAGCCGGCCUGAGAGGGCGGACGGCCACAUUGGGACUGAGACACGGCCCAGACUCCUACGGAAGGCAGCAG